RNAcentral lists this ribosomal RNA (256 nucleotides) under uncultured bacterium. Its description in RNAcentral is "partial 16S ribosomal RNA". It matches the Rfam family "Bacterial small subunit ribosomal RNA", at positions 524 to 776 of the family's 1533-position model. The record is from RNAcentral.
UACGUAGGAUCCAAGCGUUGUCCGGAUUUACUGGGUGUAAAGGGUGCGCAGGCGGACUGGUUAGUCUGGGGUGAAAUCUCAUCGCUUAACGGUGAAACUGCCUUAGAUACUGCCAGUCUUGAAUCAGCGAGAGAUAUGCGGAAUUCCGAGUGUAGCAGUGAAAAUGUGUAGAUAUUCGGAAGAACACCAGUGGCGAAGGCAGCAUAUUGGCGCUCGAUUACGCUCAGGCACGAAAAGCAUGGGGGAUCAAAACAGG